CCCCUUGCAGCUCAGCAGCAAGCGUAUAAACGGUGAACAGGUCCCACCAACCCUGUGAUGGGGACACCACUGCAUCACUUACCCCAGGACGAGCAGAGGCCUUCAAAGAGGGUAGAUGGGAGAAAAGGGCUGGGCAGGAACCCUCCUUUGAUGAAGCAUGAAAGAAAAAGGAGAUUUAAGACUGUUCAUUGUUGAAAUAACUGCAGCUCUGCUCACAAGCAGUGUAACUAUUAACAUAUAUUUACAGGUCUCUGCCUGGGAGGUAUAUUCAUGAAGCAGGGAUGCAUUUCACACCAUCACAGUCUACAACAAAAUUCAGAAUGUUUUCCAGAUCAAAAUCUACCUGACGGUGAGUCGCAUUGAGCCAGGGUGAUGAGAAGUUCACUCUGCAUCUUUCCCGGUAGGUUCGCUCCCCGGCUCUGCACAGCUGGGCAAGGCCCAGCCUCCGUCUUCAGAGGCUUUGUUGGCAUCAGCCAUAUCUGGGCUCGCACUCCUCCCCUGCCGCUUGCUAACUGCUACUGGGAGAGCCCUGGACUUUAGUGCACAUUGGGUCACAUCCUGUGGUCGGUCAUCUGAAGGCCAGAAUUCUGACGCUUACUGGCCAAGUUGUGCUCCCUGGCUGGGCUGGGGGCCCUGGACCCGGGACACAGCCUCCUGGGUGGUCCUUGCAGGUUCUUCCCCCUCUGUGGGGCUCUGCAGAGGAUACGCUCCAAGUCCUUACUCUCCAUGGAACACAAGUCACUGUCUUCUUCUCCAGUCUUGUCUCCUCUCCCCAGGCACUUGCCCCUCUGCCCUUCCUUUAAGGGAGGGUCCCACUCAUCUCCCUUCCCUGGGUCUCUCUCCACUGGGGUUAGGGGGACACAGACCAGCCGGACAUCCAUCACUUGUUUUCUUAUCCACUCAUUCACCUGCCUAUGUUUGCGUUCACACCUGGGGAACAGAGCGGAAGACAGGCCCUUUUAGUGGAGAAAAGAACUCUCCUGGAAAUCCCAUCUAG
This 997-nucleotide long non-coding RNA is filed under the name Macaca mulatta (Rhesus monkey). Its description in RNAcentral is "lncRNA (ENSMMUG00000041776.2)". Lineage: Eukaryota; Metazoa; Chordata; Mammalia; Primates; Cercopithecidae. The record is from RNAcentral.